This is a non-coding RNA of Penicillium arizonense, 103 nucleotides long. The record is from Rfam. NCBI's taxonomy places the organism in Eukaryota, Fungi, Ascomycota, Eurotiomycetes, Eurotiales, Aspergillaceae.
UUUACAUGAUGAUUAUUCGAAAGAAUUCUGCAAUUCCGACAACCUCCGUGUAUUCAAUACAUUGUGAGGUUGCAUGUUGACUUAUUCUACACUUGAUCUGAGA